UAGCCGUAAACGAUACUCGCUAGGUGUCGGCCACGGUGCGACCGUUGUCGGUGCCGUAGGGAAGCCGUGAAGCGAGCCACCUGGGAAGUACGGCCGCAAGGCUGAAACUUAAAGGAAUUGGCGGGGGAGCACAACAACGGGUGGAGCUUGCGGUUUAAUUGGAUUCAACGCCAGAAAUCUUACCGGGACCGACAGCAACAUGAAGGCCAAGCUGAAGACUUUGCCGGAUUAGCUGAGAGGAGGUGCAUGGCGUAGUCGUGU
This 261-nucleotide ribosomal RNA is filed under the name uncultured archaeon. RNAcentral describes it as "partial 16S ribosomal RNA". It matches the Rfam family "Archaeal small subunit ribosomal RNA", at positions 748 to 1009 of the family's 1478-position model. The record is from RNAcentral.